UAGGGAAUCUUCGGCAAUGGUCGGAAGUCUGACCGAGCAACGCCGCGUGAGUGAAGAAGGUUUUCGGAUCGUAAAGCUCUGUUGUUAGAGAAGAACGUUGGCAGGAGUGGAAAAUCUACCAAGUGACGGUAACUAACCAGCAAGGGACGGCUAACUUCGUGCCAGCAGCCGCGGUAAUACGUAUGUCUCGAGCGUUGUCCGGAUUUAUUGGGCGUAAAGCGAGCGCAGGCGGUUCUUUAAGUCUGAAGUUAAAGGCAGUGGCUUAACCAUUGUACGCUUUGGAAACUGGGGGAAUUGAGUGCAGAAGGGGAGAGUGGAAUUCCAUGUGUAGCGGUGAAAUGCGUAGAUAUAUGGAGGAACACCGGUGGCGAAAGCGGCUCUCUGGUCUGUAACUGACGCUGAGGCUCGAAAGCGUGGGGAGCAAACAGG
This 429-nucleotide ribosomal RNA is filed under the name Bacillota bacterium. RNAcentral's name for it is "Firmicutes bacterium partial 16S ribosomal RNA". It matches the Rfam family "Bacterial small subunit ribosomal RNA", at positions 355 to 776 of the family's 1533-position model. The record is from RNAcentral. Lineage: Bacteria; Bacillati; Bacillota.